Molecule: long non-coding RNA, 875 nt
Organism: Daphnia pulicaria
Lineage: Eukaryota; Metazoa; Arthropoda; Branchiopoda; Diplostraca; Daphniidae
Exons: 5
Source: RefSeq, a predicted model, not a curated record
UAAAAAUUAUUAAAAAUACCCGACAAUAGAAUUCCAGUGUGCAACCAACUUCAAAAUUCAUUACCAGAUGUCGCUAGUGUUACCAUUGUUGUUUUUGCAUCGUGAAACGAGGCAAAAUAGGCGAAACAAUUGGAUGCUAAUUAAUACUUAUAUUCCUGUGAUUUCAAUUACCAAAUUGAACUUCGUAACUUAUGAAGAUGCAUACUGUCAGUCAUUCCAAAAAGUUGACUUAGCGCUCAGUCACUUUCCAUCCAAAUGAUCCAAUAGACCCAUCAUGUUGUCAAAUCCUAAAACUAAUGUGUGAAGCUCACAUAUCGUGGAAUACAAAUGUGUGGAGACAAGGUAUUUCCCCAUUACUGCUACCACACCAACCACACCAAACCAACCGCCUUACUAAUAAAUUCAGCACCAGUCACCCAUAUGAUAAAGGAAAUUUACCUCAACCUUAGGAGUAAGGCUGUUGGUUGCUGUGAUUUCCAUUUUUACGAUUUGUUAUCAUGAAAACUUCAGUGUGCUUGUUAGUAAAGAGCACAUAAUAGAUCCUUGAGCCAAUGCUGACCUUUGUCUAUGAAGGAAGAGGGACAUCUAGCAACGUUCUGCUCCAUCCGUAUCUUCCCGACGUACACUCAUUUAGCUUCACUGCUUUUGCUGCUACAACUUGUUUUACUUCACCGACGAGUUGGAACACUUCAGUGGUCGCUACCCUUUGCUGUUACACACCUGCAGUUACUCACCACGGGAUUAUGCCCAGGUAAUGCAGAGGAAAUUUCGAGAAGAUUGACACCAUAACGUCGCCGGUAUCUCCAAAGUGUCAGCGCGGAUCAUCAUUUGUUGUUGGUAAUAUGUGUUCGUUUGUGUUAGUUAACCCGUUGUCU